RNAcentral lists this long non-coding RNA (263 nucleotides) under Homo sapiens (human). RNAcentral's name for it is "non-protein coding lnc-ABHD4-12:6". Lineage: Eukaryota; Metazoa; Chordata; Mammalia; Primates; Hominidae. The record is from RNAcentral.
GCAUCUUCCUACCCUGAGUGUCCAGGAGGGUGACAACUCUAUUAUCAACUGUGCUUAUUCAAACAGCGCCUCAGACUACUUCAUUUGGUACAAGCAAGAAUCUGGAAAAGGUCCUCAAUUCAUUAUAGACAUUCGUUCAAAUAUGGACAAAAGGCAAGGCCAAAGAGUCACCGUUUUAUUGAAUAAGACAGUGAAACAUCUCUCUCUGCAAAUUGCAGCUACUCAACCUGGAGACUCAGCUGUCUACUUUUGUGCAGAGAAUA